Molecule: ribosomal RNA, 661 nt
Filed under: Trichoderma tomentosum
Lineage: Eukaryota; Fungi; Ascomycota; Sordariomycetes; Hypocreales; Hypocreaceae
Description: eukaryotic LSU rRNA
Rfam family: 5.8S ribosomal RNA (bases 273-426)
Source: RNAcentral
CUUGGUCAUUUAGAGGAAGUAAAAGUCGUAACAAGGUCUCCGUUGGUGAACCAGCGGAGGGAUCAUUACCGAGUUUACAACUCCCAAACCCAAUGUGAACGUUACCAAACUGUUGCCUCGGCGGGAUUCUCAAGCCCCGGGUGCGUCGCAGCCCCGGACCAAGGCGCCCGCCGGAGGACCAACCAAAACUCUUUUUGUAUACCCCCUCGCGGGUUUUUUUUAUAAUCUGAGCCUUCUCGGCGCCUCUCGUAGGCGUUUCGAAAAUGAAUCAAAACUUUCAACAACGGAUCUCUUGGUUCUGGCAUCGAUGAAGAACGCAGCGAAAUGCGAUAAGUAAUGUGAAUUGCAGAAUUCAGUGAAUCAUCGAAUCUUUGAACGCACAUUGCGCCCGCCAGUAUUCUGGCGGGCAUGCCUGUCCGAGCGUCAUUUCAACCCUCGAACCCCUCCGGGGGGUCGGCGUUGGGGAUCGGCCCUCCCUCUGCGGGGGCCGUCUCCGAAAUACAGUGGCGGUCUCGCCGCAGCCUCUCCUGCGCAGUAGUUUGCACACUCGCAUCGGGAGCGCGGCGCGUCCACAGCCGUUAAACACCCAAACUUUCUGAAAUGUUGACCUCGGAUCAGGUAGGAAUACCCGCUGAACUUAAGCAUAUCAAUAAGCGGAGGA